CGCAGCCGCGGUAAUUCCAGCUCCAAUAGCGUAUAUUAAAGUUGUUGCAGUUAAAAAGCUCGUAGUUGAAUUUCGGGGUCAGUAGAUUGGUCGUGCCACUGGUAUGUACUGGUCUUACUGGCUCCUCCUUCCUGAUGAACCGUAAUGCCAUUAAUUUGGUGUUGCGGGGAGACUGGACUGUUACUUUGAAAAAAUUAGAGUGUUUAAAGCAGGCUAACGCUUGAAUACAUUAGCAUGGAAUAAUGAAAUAGGACGUUCGAUCUUAUUUUGUUGGUUUCUAAGAUUGACGUAAUGAUUAAUAGGGAUAGUUGGGGGCAUUAGUAUUCAAUUGUCAGAGGUGAAAUUCUUGGAUUUAUUGAAGACUAACUACUGCGAAAGCAUUUGCCAAGGAUGUUUUCAUUAAUCAAGAACGAAAGUUAGGGGAUCGAAGACGAUCAGAUACCGUCGUAGUCUUAACCAUAAACUAUGCCGACUAGGGAUCGGAUGAUGUUAAUUUUUUAAUGACUCAUUCGGCGCCUUA
Molecule: ribosomal RNA, 520 nt
Filed under: uncultured Glomus
Lineage: Eukaryota; Fungi; Glomeromycota; Glomeromycetes; Glomerales; Glomeraceae
Description: SSU rRNA
Rfam family: Eukaryotic small subunit ribosomal RNA
Source: RNAcentral